This 438-nucleotide ribosomal RNA is filed under the name uncultured bacterium. RNAcentral's name for it is "bacterial SSU rRNA". It matches the Rfam family "Bacterial small subunit ribosomal RNA", at positions 954 to 1392 of the family's 1533-position model. The record is from RNAcentral.
GCAUAACGCGAAGAACCUUACCUACCCUUGACAUCCAGAGAACUUGCCAGAGAUGGCUUGGUGCCUUCGGGAACUCUGAGACAGGUGCUGCAUGGCUGUCGUCAGCUCGUGUUGUGAAAUGUUGGGUUAAGUCCCGCAACGAGCGCAACCCUUAUCCUUUGUUGCCAGCGGUUAGGCCGGGAACUCAAAGGAGACUGCCAGUGAUAAACUGGAGGAAGGUGGGGAUGACGUCAAGUCAUCAUGGCCCUUACGAGUAGGGCUACACACGUGCUACAAUGGCGCAUACAAAGAGAAGCGACCUCGCGAGAGCAAGCGGACCUCAUAAAGUGCGUCGUAGUCCGGAUUGGAGUCUGCAACUCGACUCCAUGAAGUCGGAAUCGCUAGUAAUCGUGGAUCAGAAUGCCACGGUGAAUACGUUCCCGGGUCUUGUACACACCG